GACGAACGCUGGCGGCGUGCCUAAUACAUGCAAGUCGAACGCUUCUUUCCUCCCGAGUGCUUGCACUCAAUUGGAAAGCGGAGUGGCGGACGGGUGAGUAACACGUGGGUAACCUACCCAUCAGAGGGGGAUAACACUUGGAAACAGGUGCUAAUACCGCAUAACAGUUUAUGCCGCAUGGCAUAAGAGUGAAAGGCGCUUUCGUGUGUCGCUGAUGGAUGGACCCGCGGUGCAUUAGCUAGUUGGUGGGGUAACGGCUCACCAAGGCGACGAUGCAUAGCCGACCUGAGAGGGUGAUCGGCCGCACUGGGACUGAGACACGGCCCAGACUCCUACGGGAGGCAGCAGUAGGGAAUCGUCGGCAAUGGACGAAAGUCUGACCGAGCAACGCCACGUGAGAGAAGAAGGUUUUCGGAUCGUAAUACUCUGUUGUUAGAGAAGAACAAGGACGUUAGUAACUGAACGUCCCCUGACGGUAUCUAACAAGAAAGCCACGGCUAACUACGUG
Molecule: ribosomal RNA, 508 nt
Filed under: uncultured bacterium
Lineage: Bacteria
Description: partial 16S ribosomal RNA
Rfam family: Bacterial small subunit ribosomal RNA
Source: RNAcentral